Molecule: ribosomal RNA, 483 nt
Filed under: uncultured bacterium
Lineage: Bacteria
Description: partial 16S ribosomal RNA
Rfam family: Bacterial small subunit ribosomal RNA
Source: RNAcentral
AUUGAACGCUGGCGGCAUGCUUUACACAUGCAAGUCGAACGGCAGCGCGGGCUUCGGCCUGGCGGCGAGUGGCGAACGGGUGAGUAAUGCAACGGAACGUGCCCAGUAGUGGGGGAUAGCCCGGCGAAAGCCGGAUUAAUACCACAUACGACCUGAGGGUGAAAGCGGGGGACCGAAAGGCCUCGCGCUAUUGGAGCUGCCGAUGUCGGAUUAGCCCGGUGGUGGGGUAAAGGCUUACCAAGGCGACGAUCCGUAGCUGGUCUGAGAGGACGACCAGCCACCCUGGGCCUGAGACACGGCCCAGCCUCCUACGGGAGGCAGCAGUGGGGAAUUUUGGACAAUGGGGGCAACCCUGAUCCAGCCAUGCCGCGUGCGGGAAGAAGGCCUGCGGGUUGUAAACCGCUUUUGUUCGGGAAGAAAUCCUCUGGGCUAAUACCCCGGGGGGAGGACGGUACCGGAAGAAUAAGCACGGGCUAGCUACGU